Molecule: ribosomal RNA, 305 nt
Filed under: uncultured bacterium
Lineage: Bacteria
Description: bacterial SSU rRNA
Rfam family: Bacterial small subunit ribosomal RNA
Source: RNAcentral
UUGCCUACGGGGCGCAGCAGUGGGGAAUAUUGCACAAUGGGGGAAACCCUGAUGCAGCGACGCCGCGUGAGUGAAGAAGUAUUUCGGUACGUAAAGCUCUAUCAGCAGGGAAGAAAAAAAGUCCUUUGGACUUUGGACGGUACCUGACCAAGAAGCCCCGGCUAACUACGUGCCAGCAGCCGCGGUAAUACGUAGGGGGCAAGCGUUAUCCGGAUUUACUGGGUGUAAAGGGAGCGUAGACGGCAGUGCAAGUCUGAAGUGAAAGGCAAGGGCGCAACCCUUGGACUGCUUUGGAAACUGUGCUG